Molecule: non-coding RNA, 94 nt
Filed under: Actinobacillus succinogenes 130Z
Lineage: Bacteria; Pseudomonadati; Pseudomonadota; Gammaproteobacteria; Pasteurellales; Pasteurellaceae
Description: Aggregatibacter sRNA 22
Rfam family: Aggregatibacter sRNA 22
Source: Rfam by way of RNAcentral
GUGCGGUCACAAAAAACAUCGCUUUUUGAACGUUGGCUUUGCCAACGGCCUUUGGGGGAGCUAUCCUUAAAAGGAUUGCGAAUAAAAAUCCGAU